This 497-nucleotide ribosomal RNA is filed under the name uncultured bacterium. RNAcentral's name for it is "partial 16S ribosomal RNA". It matches the Rfam family "Bacterial small subunit ribosomal RNA", at positions 30 to 507 of the family's 1533-position model. The record is from RNAcentral.
AUUGAACGCUGGCGGCAGGCCUAACACAUGCAAGUCGAACGGUAACAGGAAGAAGUUUGCUUCUUUGCUGAAGAGUGGCGGACGGGUGUGUAAUGUCUGGGACACUGCUAGAUGGCGGGGGAUAACUACUGGAAACGGUAGCUAAUACCGCAUAACGUCGCAACACCAAAGAGGGGGACCUUCGGGCCUCUUGCCAGUGGAUGAGACCAGGUGCCAGUAUGGAUUAGCUAGGGGGUCGGGUAACGGCUUACCAAGGCAACGAUCCCUAGCCGAGCUGAGAGGAUGACCAGCCACACUGGAACUGAGACACGGUCCAGACUCCUACGGGAGGCAGCAGUGGGGAAUAUUGCACAAUGGGCGCAAGCCUGAUGCAGCCAUGCCGCGUGUAUGAUGAAGGCCUUCGGGUUGUAAAGCUCUGUUAUUGGGGAAGAAGGGAGUAAUGUUAAUCCCUGCGCACAUUGACGUUACCCACAGAGAAAGCACCGGCUAACUCCGUG